GCUGGAAGAGACCUUUAGAACAGCUGGUCAUUAUGCCGACCGGGUGUCUGCACUAAGCUCGGCAUGAAUAUGGUGACCUCCUGGGAUUGAGGGGCCACCAGGUUGCCUAAGGAUGGGUGGACUGGCCCAGAUCAGAAAGGGAACAGGUCAGAACUCCCACACCAAGUGGUAGCAGGACUGUGCCUGGGAAAUAUAGCAAGAUCUU
This is an unclassified non-coding RNA of Macaca nemestrina (pig-tailed macaque), 205 nucleotides long. It matches the Rfam family "Metazoan signal recognition particle RNA". From Rfam's summary of the family: The signal recognition particle (SRP) is a universally conserved ribonucleoprotein. It is involved in the co-translational targeting of proteins to membranes. NCBI's taxonomy places the organism in Eukaryota, Metazoa, Chordata, Mammalia, Primates, Cercopithecidae. The record is from Ensembl.